UUCACCACUGGAAUCUGCUCCUUCGCGGGAGAGAACAGGGCCCUGCCGUCCCCGCCGCGCCGUCGGGGUCUCCACUGCCCCGUCAGCGGCGCCACGCAAGGACGCUUUUCCCAGGAGCCUGCGGGCCGGGCCACGCGGAGUGAAUUCUGCAUAGACCCGGGUCUGCGUUCGCAACAUCAAAGCGUGGUGACUUGCAGAAAAGCGUCCGGUCAUAGUGGCACCUCCGCGCGGGAGCAGCCUGUUUUUUUUGUGCCACAAACCCCGUGCUGCUCGGCACGCUGGGGUCUGGGUGGCGGCGUCCCGGGGCCGGGCCGCGGCUCCUACCCGCUCCACGCGUGGGUCGUCGCCCGCGCGUUAACUGCACCCUCACCGUGAAGCUGUAUUCCUGGUGAUGCUGCUCCCCAGAGUGACGUGGCUCUUGAAGAACGAGUGUGCAAAGCUGGCAGUUCGAUUGCUGAUCUCCAAAGUCUGGGCUACGUGAUGUUGGGGACCCAUCUGAAUGGUGUCUGAUUCUGUCUCCCACUUCCAGCGCCGAGCACAGUGUGAAGCCACGUGUCUGAGAGAAGAGGUGACAACGACACUGCUUUCUGACCAGGCACAGUGCUAAGCCAGCUGGGACCACAUCUGGCACCUCCAAGCAUGACAGCAGGACUUGUUCCUGGGCAAGGGCCCCAUGGACGA
Propithecus coquereli (Coquerel's sifaka) is the source of this 681-nucleotide long non-coding RNA. RefSeq lists it as uncharacterized. Lineage: Eukaryota; Metazoa; Chordata; Mammalia; Primates; Indriidae. The record is from RefSeq and is a predicted model, not a curated record. The transcript has 3 exons.